Molecule: ribosomal RNA, 115 nt
Filed under: uncultured eukaryote
Lineage: Eukaryota
Description: partial small subunit ribosomal RNA
Source: RNAcentral
UUGGSUUUACCCGAAGGUGGUGCGCUAACCGYAAGGAGGCAGCCAACCACGGUSRGGUCAGCGACUGGGRUGAAGUCGUAACAAGGUAGCCGUAGGUGAACCUGCAGAAGGAUCA